UAAAGCUGUAGCACAAUGAAAGAGCAUCUGCUUUGUAUGCAGAAGGUCCCAGGUUCAAUCCCCGGCACUUCCAAA
This is a non-coding RNA of Podarcis lilfordi (Lilford's wall lizard), 75 nucleotides long. Lineage: Eukaryota; Metazoa; Chordata; Lepidosauria; Squamata; Lacertidae. The record is from the annotation of a GenBank genome assembly.